Long non-coding RNA from Acanthochromis polyacanthus (spiny chromis), 694 nucleotides. RefSeq lists it as uncharacterized. The transcript has 3 exons. Lineage: Eukaryota; Metazoa; Chordata; Actinopteri; Pomacentridae. The record is from RefSeq and is a predicted model, not a curated record.
AUCGACUUUCACUAUAUAUAUAUCAACUUUCAUUAUAUAUAUAUCAAGUUUCAUUAUAUAUAUAUAUCAACUUUCAUUAUAUAUAUAUCAAGUUUCAUUAUAUAUAUAUCGACUUUCAUUAUAUAUAUAUAUCAACUUUCAUUAUAUAUAUAUCAAAUCUUUUUUUCCUACCGAGCCCCGGAAGGGACAUGUCCGUAUGGCGAAGCGACAACGAAGGACACUCACCCGGACGAGAAUUUUAUUGAGUUUUAUUUUAAAAUCGGCCUGAAACACACAGACAUUCAAGCAGUGCGAUGCGCUAAGAGUCUGCCAUGCAGACCAGCGAUCCUGAUAAUGUUGUCGGCCUUGGAUGAUGAGGUCCAGUUACCAGGAGCACUAGUCUGCAGCUUACUGGUUCCGUCCUGCAGCUCCUCCACGCUGUCCUCCUCUCUACAGACCAAAUCAAGAAAAGGGAACCAGGAAGCUGCUGUGGAUCCUCUGCAGUAUCUGGAGAGGUCAGAGGAACGGUUCUUGGAACAGAUCGGAAGACACCAAGACGUGACCUCUGCCAUUCUCCAGAACAUCCAGAAGAUGAAUGAAAACCUUGGUUGCACUGAUGGGACGCAUGGUGUCGGUGCUGGAGCAACUGUCCCAGAAUUAAACUGCAUUGUUGACUAUUGGCUUUUCUAGAAAAUAAAUCUUUUUUAGUACUUCA